UACGGGGGGGGCAAGCGUUGUUCGGAAUUACUGGGCGUAAAGGGCUCGUAGGCGGCCAACUAAGUCAGACGUGAAAUCCCUCGGCUUAACCGGGGAACUGCGUCUGAUACUGGAUGGCUUGAGGUUGGGAGAGGGAUGCGGAAUUCCAGGUGUAGCGGUGAAAUGCGUAGAUAUCUGGAGGAACACCAAUUGCGAAGGCAGCUCGCUGGGACGUCACUGACGCUGAGACGCGAAAGCGUGGGGAGCAAACAGG
RNAcentral lists this ribosomal RNA (253 nucleotides) under uncultured bacterium. RNAcentral describes it as "partial 16S ribosomal RNA". It matches the Rfam family "Bacterial small subunit ribosomal RNA", at positions 524 to 776 of the family's 1533-position model. The record is from RNAcentral.